GCGUUGGUGGUUCAGGGGUAGAAUUCUUGUCUUCCGUGCAGGAGACCCAGGUUUGAUUCCCAGACAACACA
This 71-nucleotide transfer RNA is filed under the name Loxodonta africana (African savanna elephant). It matches the Rfam family "tRNA". Rfam says of the family: Transfer RNA (tRNA) molecules are approximately 80 nucleotides in length. Their secondary structure includes four short double-helical elements and three loops (D, anti-codon, and T loops). The record is from Rfam by way of RNAcentral. Lineage: Eukaryota; Metazoa; Chordata; Mammalia; Proboscidea; Elephantidae.